Molecule: ribosomal RNA, 292 nt
Filed under: uncultured bacterium
Lineage: Bacteria
Description: partial 16S ribosomal RNA
Rfam family: Bacterial small subunit ribosomal RNA
Source: RNAcentral
GUGUCAGCAGCCGCGGUAAUACGUAGGUGGCAAGCGUUGUCCGGAUUUACUGGGCGUAAAGGGCGUGCAGGCGGUUUGUUAAGUCUAGGGUGAAAGCUCCCGGCUCAACUGGGAGAGGUCCUUGGAUACUGGCAGACUUGAGGAGAGUAGAGGAGAGUGGAAUUCCCGGUGUAGUGGUGAUAUGCGUAGAUAUCGGGAGGAACACCAGUGGCGAAGGCGGCUCUCUGGGCUCUACCUGACGCUGAGACGCGAAAGCGUGGGGAGCGAACCGGAUUAGAUACCCCGGUAGUCC